Long non-coding RNA from Gopherus flavomarginatus (Mexican gopher tortoise), 823 nucleotides. RefSeq lists it as uncharacterized. The record is from RefSeq and is a predicted model, not a curated record. Lineage: Eukaryota; Metazoa; Chordata; Testudines; Testudinidae. The transcript has 3 exons.
GGGCCGCGAGGAGGGGUGGGGCCCGCGGCUGUUUAUAAGGUUAGUUCUCGGCCGUCAGGGAGGUCGGUGCCGGGCCGGAUGCCUGGCUGAGGAGAGUUCAGGACCCAAGGAUCGGCUCGGGAGUGACCUGCAGGGACGGGGCCCCAGGGACAGGACACAGGGAGCCGCUUGUCUGCGGGGAGGGGGCCAAGCGGGCGCUGGAGGCCGGGGAGGCAGCAGGGCCUGUCGCGGGGAGCCACUCGCCGAGCGACGGCCGGGGCGGUGACUGCGCGCUGGCCUAGCAGCCCGCUCGGUCCGGUCCCCCCACGAAUCCCGAGGCCUGAUACUGGCACAAUACAUGUGAGGAAUACUUGUAACCUUGAUGUAAAAGAGACUACUCCUUGAAUAAGAUUCUUUCAAGAAGCCAGAAGAUGGACCCAGAGGGCAACUUUGUAAGCAAGGAGACAGCAGUGGUAGGUAGGGAAUUUCUUUCUGCUACAAUCCAGGAGUGUCAAACAGGAUUGCAGAUGAGGAAUCAAAGAAGGUGUUCUGGUAUACUGUCUUGGUGUGAGCACGUGGGGCUUGGCUCAACUGUAUGUAACCACCAUGGCCUGAGGCCACCACUGAUUCCCAGAGCUGUGCUGACAUCAUCAAAUAUGUGAAUUCAAAAGUACUAUCACCAACAGCUAUGUUCAUUUCACUCCCACUGGGGGAAAAAAAGAGAGUAAACAGAAGUACAUCAAAUAGGAAAGACCAAAGCUAUUUACAAACAGCUACAGCAAAAUGCAAAAUAAAACAAGGACCAUUGCUGACUAAAAUAUCCAAUAAAAGAUACUACCUCUCC